Molecule: ribosomal RNA, 314 nt
Filed under: uncultured bacterium
Lineage: Bacteria
Description: partial 16S ribosomal RNA
Rfam family: Bacterial small subunit ribosomal RNA
Source: RNAcentral
GUAUAAGAGACAGCAGUCGCCGCGGUAAUACAGAGGGUGCGAGCGUUAAUCGGAUUUACUGGGCGUAAAGCGUGCGUAGGCGGCUUCUUAAGUCGGAUGUGAAAUCCCUGAGCUUAACUUAGGAAUUGCAUUCGAUACUGGGAAGCUAGAGUAUGGGAGAGGAUGGUAGAAUUCCAGGUGUAGCGGUGAAAUGCGUAGAGAUCUGGAGGAAUACCGAUGGCGAAGGCAGCCAUCUGGCCUAAUACUGACGCUGAGGUACGAAAGCAUGGGGAGCAAACAGGAUUAGAUACCCCGGUAGUCCCUGUCUCUUAUAC